RNAcentral lists this ribosomal RNA (253 nucleotides) under uncultured bacterium. Its description in RNAcentral is "partial 16S ribosomal RNA". It matches the Rfam family "Bacterial small subunit ribosomal RNA", at positions 524 to 776 of the family's 1533-position model. The record is from RNAcentral.
UACGAAGGGGGCUAGCGUUGCUCGGAAUCACUGGGCGUAAAGUGCACGUAGGCGGAUCGCUAAGUCAGGGGUGAAAUCCUGGAGCUCAACUCCAGAACUGCCUUUGAUACUGGCAAUCUCGAGUCCGGGAGAGGUGAGUGGAACUGCGAGUGUAGAGGUGAAAUUCGUAGAUAUUCGCAAGAACACCAGUGGCGAAGGCGGCUCACUGGCCCGGUACUGACGCUGAGGUGCGAAAGCGUGGGGAGCAAACAGG